Non-coding RNA from Schistosoma curassoni, 70 nucleotides. Lineage: Eukaryota; Metazoa; Platyhelminthes; Trematoda; Strigeidida; Schistosomatidae. The record is from Rfam.
CUCGGUUAGCUCAGUUGGUAGAGCAUCAGACUUUUAAUCUGAGGUCGGGGGUUAGAGCCCACCCAUCGGG